CGAGCGAGCUUGCCUAGAUGAUUUUAGUGCUUGCACUAAAUGAAACUAGAUACAAGCGAGCGGCGGACGGGUGAGUAACACGUGGGUAACCUGCCCAAGAGACUGGGAUAACACCUGGAAACAGAUGCUAAUACCGGAUAACAACACUAGACGCAUGUCUAGAGUUUGAAAGAUGGUUCUGCUAUCACUCUUGGAUGGACCUGCGGUGCAUUAGCUAGUUGGUAAGGUAACGGCUUACCAAGGCAAUGAUGCAUAGCCGAGCUGAGAGACUGAUCGGCCACAUUGGGACUGAGACACGGCCCAAACUCCUACGGGAGGCAGCAGUAGGGAAUCUUCCACAAUGGACGAAAGUCUGAUGGAGCAACGCCGCGUGAGUGAAGAAGGGUUUCGGCUCGUAAAGCUCUGUUGGUAGUGAAGAAAGAUAGAGGUAGUAACUGGCCUUUAUUUGACGGUAAUUACUUAGAAAGUCACGGCUAACUACGUGCCAGCAGCCGCGGUAAUACGUAGGUGGCAAGCGUUGUCCGGAUUUAUUGGGCAUAAAGCGAGUGCAGGCGGUUCAAUAAGUCUGAUGUGAAAGCCUUCGGCUCAACCGGAGAAUUGCAUCAGAAACUGUUGAACUUGAGUGCAGAAGAGGAGAGUGGAACUCCAUGUGUAGCGGUGGAAUGCGUAGAUAUAUGGAAGAACACCAGUGGCGAAGGCGGCUCUCUGGUCUGCAACUGACGCUGAGGCUCGAAAGCAUGGGUAGCGAACAGGAUUAGAUACCCUGGUAGUCCAUGCCGUAAACGAUGAGUGCUGAGUGUUGGGAGGUUUCCGCCUCUCAGUGCUGCAGCUAACGCAUUAAGCACUCCGCCUGGGGAGUACG
RNAcentral lists this ribosomal RNA (862 nucleotides) under uncultured Bacillota bacterium. Its description in RNAcentral is "bacterial SSU rRNA". It matches the Rfam family "Bacterial small subunit ribosomal RNA", at positions 50 to 884 of the family's 1533-position model. The record is from RNAcentral. Lineage: Bacteria; Bacillati; Bacillota.